Arabidopsis thaliana (thale cress) is the source of this 211-nucleotide microRNA precursor. It matches the Rfam family "MIR854 microRNA precursor family". Lineage: Eukaryota; Viridiplantae; Streptophyta; Magnoliopsida; Brassicales; Brassicaceae. The record is from Rfam.
UGGAUGAAGACAGAGAAGUGGAGCUUGACACUAGCAUAUAUCAUUGUAGUGAAUAUGUACCUCCAGCGAGGGAGAGCAAGAGCUUGAGUGUAACAACAACAAGCUACAGAAGUGGUGCAAGAAACAGGACAAGCUACUCGCCAAGUGCUUCAAAACUAUCAAGUUCCUAAUAGAUAAGUUGAGCUGCUCCUCUUCCACUACAGUUAUCCCA